CAGUCGCCGCGGUAAUACGAGGGGGGCAAGCGUUGUCCGGAAUUAUUGGGCGUAAAGGGUGCGUAGGCGGUUUGACAAGUCAUCUGUGAAAUCUAUGGGCUCAACCCAUAGUCUGCAGGCGAAACUGUCGGGCUUGAGUAUGGGAGAGGUGAGUGGAAUUUCCGGUGUAGCGGUGAAAUGCGUAGAGAUGUGGAGGAACACCAGUGGCGAAGGCGACUCUCUGGUCCGUAACUGACGCUGAGAAGCGAAAGCGUGGGGAGCGAACAGGAUUAGAUACCCGCGUAGUCCCUGUCUCUUAUAC
This 301-nucleotide ribosomal RNA is filed under the name uncultured bacterium. Its description in RNAcentral is "partial 16S ribosomal RNA". It matches the Rfam family "Bacterial small subunit ribosomal RNA", at positions 509 to 807 of the family's 1533-position model. The record is from RNAcentral.